Lineus longissimus is the source of this 446-nucleotide long non-coding RNA. RefSeq lists it as uncharacterized. The record is from RefSeq and is a predicted model, not a curated record. The transcript has 3 exons. Lineage: Eukaryota; Metazoa; Nemertea; Pilidiophora; Heteronemertea; Lineidae.
CUUUUGUUGAUUUGAUGAUGUACAGCUGACUUUUGUCUAUUUUACCCAAAUAUAUUCAUAUAGAGACUGACAGCAUGGGUAUUUUUACGCAUCUGAUUUCCCUUGGCAUUGGAAUAUACCUUGGCGUGUACAUUGAUCAACAUUAUAAAGUGCCAAGCGCAGAAAACCCAGGAGAACUUUGGAGAAAGGUCAAAGAGUUUGCAUCACAGUUCGAGAAGGGUUCUAAAGACAACAAGAAGGACAGCUAGCAUUCAUCCGUUAGGAAACAAAGAUACUCUUAACACUUUGUGAUUAUAUAGAACAUGCACUGUGAAAGAUGUUGACUCAUCAAUCAAGAAGUAACUAUGAGGAUGGUCACAUCAAACAUUGACACUUUGUGAGUUUAUGUGCACAGCUCCAGUUACUUGAAAUGAUUGCGACUCACCGGUGCAGGGGCGGGGGGGGGG